GUCGAAGGGCUUCUCUACAUGGCCCCACAGUGCUGCACUACCACUCCCCUGUGUGGAUGCUGCUGAUGCAAACUGGAGAGUAUUGCAUUAACAAAGUGCUCUUUCAAAUGCAGGUGAUAUUUUGGAAAAUAUUCCACAGCGUGCCGCUCACUACCACAAGAUGUCUGACUGAAACAUCAUGGGAAAUUCUGCAAUAACUAGCAAACAAUCCCCUGCUUGGAGCAAUUCUGAGCUACUGGAGCUGAUCAGUGUUUGGGGAAAGGAGGCUGUGAAGGGACCUGGAUGCUCCACGAUCACUUCCCCCUUCCUACAAGACCUAUUGUCAAAAUGGAGAGAGCUGCACUGUGGGAUAGCUGCUCUCAGCUGCGAUGGAAGUGUUGCAAAUGUGAACAUGAUCUGACACUUGUGGAAGACUGGAUUUCUAUUGUUCCUAGCCAGGAGUCUAACAAAGACAGCAGAAGUUCAUGCUUUCACAUGUUUGCAAAUCAGUAUUAAAAACCUCUUUAUAUAGUUCUUUUGUAUAUUCAACCUUUUACUGGCUCCUAUUUGAGUUCCAGGAUUGUCCCCCCAUUUUUCACUGUCAUACUAUUGACUUUUGUAUUGUGCACUGAGGCAUUGUAGUUACUUGUUGCAACUUCUCUAUUUCCACAGUUUUGUCAACAAAAGUCAGGUUUCAUCAACAAAAGAGUGUAUGUGUACACAGGGUCCUUCAUACCAGGAGGGGAUUCAUGGCCCUGCACACUUUGCAUCAUCACAACCCCCAUAGUGAACUUCUCAAUUCCAAACUGAUUGGCAGUUGACUGUGAUAGCAGUCUGGAGUUGCCAGAUUCCACACAGCUAUCGCCACAUGCUUUUCCACCAUUAGGGCAGCUCUCUUUUUAGUGUCCUUGCACCACAGGGUGGGGGGCAUGCUCCACACAGAGUUCAAAGAAGGUGACUUUGUGCAUACAAAAGUUCUGCAGCCACUGCUUGUCAUCCCAUGCCGGCAUCACAAGCCGACCCCACUCAAUGCUUUUUCCCAAGCCCAGUAGCAACCAUAUGCAGCUGCUCCAUGAAUGCCAACAUCAAUCUUGAAUGUUUCUUUCCACGGUACACAGCAAGGCACGCACUAUGGUUUCCUGUUCAGAUUUGCAGCUCAUUAAAUACUGCAGCAUCAGAUGCAUUAUGUUCAUACCACUUAUCACAAGACUGGAGAGCCUUGAAGGAUCCAUGCUUUCAGGGAGAGAUGAUGGGGGCAAAGUUUACAGGGGCAGUUGAAAUAUCAGGCGAAACACAGUUGGAAGCCUUUAGAAUUAUGUGACAGGUGAAAACUGCAUCAUACAGCAGUAAUUCUGCCCCCAUGAUGCACUGCAAUCCAUUCUUAUAACUCCUAGCAGGAGAAGGUGGCAAUUUGCACAGUGGGAUAGCUACCCACAGCAUACUACUCUUCGUUGGUGCUAGAGCACCAACUGUGGACGUGCUCCGCCAGCAGAAGGAGAGUUGUGUGAAAAUGUACAAGCUAUGUAUUACAGCAGUUUAUGAUCAUCAACAUAACUUAAAAUCGACUUAACUCUGUAGUGCAGACAUGACCGAUGUACAAUAAAACAAGAUUCUGUAGACCAUAGUGUAUGGAUAUAAAAUGAAAAGCCAUAUUUAUAUGCUUGAAAUUACUAGUUAAGUCAGAUAAGAGUUAAAUAGGGAUAGUGUAAAGAAAAGCAUUAAACUCUGAUCAAUGUUAUCAUCACCACCUUAAAAGCAGUAAAAAACUCUAACAUGACAUAUCUUGUUUACUUCUUGCUUUUAAAGUCAUGGUGGACAGCAAAACUGGACUAGUCAAUUUCACAUCUUCGUUAUCAAUUAUUUAGACUCAAAGAGGAAAAGUUAAAGGUUGGAUAAGAUACGAAAUAGAAGGUGCAGACUGGUAAAUCAAGGAUGUGUGCUCUCCACAAUUUUUUUCCUUUGUAGUCUAAAUAUUUAGAAAGAAUAAUCUUGUUUUAUUUAUUUAACCAUCUUCACUGUUCCCCUUCAUUGAGUCCAUCUGGCUUGUCAGAGUACAGACCACAGACAGGUUUCAGAGCAGUACCCGGGUUAGUCUGUAUCAGCAA
Gopherus evgoodei (Goodes thornscrub tortoise) is the source of this 2084-nucleotide long non-coding RNA. RefSeq lists it as uncharacterized. The record is from RefSeq and is a predicted model, not a curated record. NCBI's taxonomy places the organism in Eukaryota, Metazoa, Chordata, Testudines, Testudinidae. The transcript is spliced from 3 exons.